GGGGCAACCCACUCACCGGCGAACGGGUGCGUAACACGUGAGCGACUGGUCCUACAGGUGGGGGAUAGCCGGCCCAACGGCCGGGUAAUACCGCAUACGUUCCCUUGGGGGCAUCCCUGGGGGAGGAAAGCCUAUAUGGCGCCUGAGGAGGGGCUCGCGGCCUAUCAGCUAGUUGGCGAGGUAACGGCUCACCAAGGCACCGACGGGUAGCUGGUCUGAGAGGAUGGCCAGCCACAUUGGGACUGAGAAACGGCCCAGACUCCUACGGGAGGCAGCAGUGGGGAAUCUUGCGCAAUGGCCGAAAGGCUGACGCAGCGACGCCGCGUGUGGGAGGAAGCCCUUCGGGGUGUAAACCACUGUUGCCCGGGACGAACGGCGGGGAAUGCCCCGCGUGACGGUACCGGGUGAGGAAGCACCGGCUAACUCCGUGCCAGCAGCCGCGGUAAUACGGAGGGUGCGAGCGUUGUCCGGAAUCACUGGGCGUAAAGGGCGCGUAGGCGGCUUCUCAAGCGUGUGGUGAAAGUCCGGGGCUCAACCCCGGAUCGGCCGUGCGGACUGGGGAGCUCGAGUUCUGUAGAGGCGGGUGGAAUUCCGGGUGUAGCGGUGGAAUGCGUAGAGAUCCGGAAGAACACCGGUGGCGAAGGCGGCCCGCUGGGCAGAGACUGACGCUGAUGCGCGACAGCGUGGGGAGCAAACAGGAUUAGAUACCCUGGUAGUCCACGCCGUAAACGAUGGGCACUAGGUGCUUGGGGGAGCGACCCUCUGAGUGCCGGCGCUAACGCAUUAAGUGCCCCGCCUGGGGAGUAC
Molecule: ribosomal RNA, 807 nt
Filed under: uncultured Gemmatimonadota bacterium
Lineage: Bacteria; Pseudomonadati; Gemmatimonadota
Description: bacterial SSU rRNA
Rfam family: Bacterial small subunit ribosomal RNA
Source: RNAcentral